AAAAAAACAGGGCUCGUCGUCUUUUGUGGAUCGGUCUCUUGAAAACUGGAGGGAAAUUGUUGCAUUGUGAUUUGGUGAACCUAUGUAAGUACGUUAGUGGCAGAUGGUUCACUAUAUAAUGGCACAUUU
Camellia sinensis is the source of this 129-nucleotide small nucleolar RNA. RefSeq annotates it as small nucleolar RNA snoR74. The record is from RefSeq and is a predicted model, not a curated record. NCBI's taxonomy places the organism in Eukaryota, Viridiplantae, Streptophyta, Magnoliopsida, Ericales, Theaceae.